This 140-nucleotide small RNA is filed under the name Marmota monax (woodchuck). The record is from RNAcentral. Lineage: Eukaryota; Metazoa; Chordata; Mammalia; Rodentia; Sciuridae.
GCUGAGUGUGGUGGCACACACCUGUAAUCCCAGCAGCUCAGGAGGCUGAGGCAGGAGGAUCAAGAGUUCAAAGUCAACCUUUUUUGCUGAGGCUUCAGCAAAAGAGAGACAUUAAGCAACUCAGUGAGACCCUGUCUCUA